CCAAGAAGAGUUCUCUUUUCUUCUUAACGGUCUGUCACCCUGAAAUCGGUUUGUCCGGAGCUAGGGUUCAAUGGCCGGAAGAGCGCUGCACUUUUGCGGCGUGGUG
RNAcentral lists this non-coding RNA (106 nucleotides) under Pyrenochaeta sp. DS3sAY3a. RNAcentral's name for it is "Eukaryotic large subunit ribosomal RNA". It matches the Rfam family "Eukaryotic large subunit ribosomal RNA", at positions 1680 to 1789 of the family's 3401-position model. The record is from Rfam by way of RNAcentral. Lineage: Eukaryota; Fungi; Ascomycota; Dothideomycetes; Pleosporales; Cucurbitariaceae.